GAUGAACGCUGGCGGCGUGCCUAAUACAUGCAAGUCGAGCGAACGGACGAGAAGCUUGCUUCUCUGAUGUUAGCGGCGGACGGGUGAGUAACACGUGGAUAACCUACCUAUAAGACUGGGAUAACUUCGGGAAACCGGAGCUAAUACCGGAUAAUAUUUUGAACCGCAUGGUUCAAAAGUUAAAGACGGUCUUUCUGUCACUUAUAGAUUGAUCCGCGCUGCAUUAGCUAGUUGGUAAGGUAACGGCUUAACAAGGCAACGAUGCAUAGCCGACCUGAGAGGGUGAUCGGCCACACUGGAACUGAGACACGGUCCAGACUCCUACGGGAGGCAGCAGUAGGGAAUCUUACGCAAUGGGCGAGAGCCUGACGGAGCAACGCCGCGUGAGUGAUGAAGGUCUUCGGAUCGUAAAACUCUGUUAGUAGGGAAGAACAUAUGUGUAAGUACCUGUGCACAUCUUGACGGUACCUAAUCAGAAAGCCACGGCUAACUACGUG
This 497-nucleotide ribosomal RNA is filed under the name uncultured bacterium. RNAcentral describes it as "partial 16S ribosomal RNA". It matches the Rfam family "Bacterial small subunit ribosomal RNA", at positions 28 to 507 of the family's 1533-position model. The record is from RNAcentral.